This is a long non-coding RNA of Dreissena polymorpha, 840 nucleotides long. RefSeq lists it as uncharacterized. Lineage: Eukaryota; Metazoa; Mollusca; Bivalvia; Myida; Dreissenidae. The record is from RefSeq and is a predicted model, not a curated record. The transcript is spliced from 5 exons.
UUCCCUACUGAGUACUUUCGUUUUAAACAUAAUGAAGAUCUUCAGGCGUUAGUUAAUAUAUCUCUGUUUUAAAUAACAAAUCAGAACAAUAUCGGACAGGAUCAGUUAUUUUUAUUUUAUGAACAUACACUUACCAUGGGAAACAGUUCUGGGACGAACGUUCGUAAAGAUUGUGAUGUUAUUGCUGCAAUUUUUGACGAGAAGAACAAAUGGCACGAGAUUUUAUCAGGCGCUAAACAUCCCGACAUGGUUCUCAUCAAUGACUUGUUAUUCAACACACAUCAAAGGCUAAAAUGUUACGUGAAACAGAUGCAUUCAACAUCCGUUGAAAUACAAACAGAUCUGGAUGAACGUACGAUUGAAUUGGAAGAGCAAUUAGAAAAGCUAAAAACCGAUAGGGACGCAUUAACAAUAAGGCUAAGCAAAGUUGUGGGCGAGAAGCUGAUGAAGGACAACUCUUACAUAACUGAUCUCAGUGACGAGAAUAGACCAACAAAAAUAGGAGAGGUGUACACAAAGUUAUACGACAACGAAUGGACGGAUGCAUAUGAAGCGCUAACGAAAUCAUGAUACAAAGGCACAGAGGCUAUAGGAACUCUGUUCAAGACAUUAAAGGUAUGUUUCGAGUUCUGUCAUUCAAAGGCCGAUCAGCUCUUGAAGUCGACUGUGAAAGUUGCUGCAAACGUCCUUUUUCAAGAAUUCCACGAAGAAAUGAAAGACCAGAAGAAAUUGCGUCAGACGUUAGCAGUAGUGUCCAAGGUAUGUUAUUUACUAUAAUUUUAUUUGCACACACGAACAUGAACUUCAAAGCUUACAAUAAUGGAUUUAUUUGAUCUUUUU